Molecule: ribosomal RNA, 468 nt
Filed under: uncultured bacterium
Lineage: Bacteria
Description: partial 16S ribosomal RNA
Rfam family: Bacterial small subunit ribosomal RNA
Source: RNAcentral
GACGAACGCUGGCGGCGUGCUUAACACAUGCAAGUCGAACGGAAAGGCCCUGCUUUUGUUGGGUUCUCGUUUGGCGAACGGGUGAGUAACACGUGAGUAACCUGCCCUUGUCUGUGUGAUAACUUUAGGGGACUGGGGCGAAUACCGGGGAGGAUCUCCUGCUGCGUGGGGGUGGUUGGUAAGUGUCGGCGGUUUGGUAUGUACUCGCUGCUUAUCAGCUUGUUUGCGGGGUUGUGGCUUUCAAGGGCUUUGACGGCUAGCCGGCGUAAGCGCGUUAACGGCCACAUUGGGCCUGCGAUACGGACCAGUAUCCAACCGGCGGCAACAGUCGGGAACAUUGCACAACGGGCGGACGCCUGAUGCAGAAGCGCCGCGUGCGGGAUGACGGCCUUCUGGUUGUAAACCGAUUUGGCAUGUGACGAAGAGUGAGUGACGGUACCGGGUCAAGAAGCCCCGGCUAACUACGUG